This 635-nucleotide ribosomal RNA is filed under the name Marinobacter sp. CC2. The record is from RNAcentral. Lineage: Bacteria; Pseudomonadati; Pseudomonadota; Gammaproteobacteria; Pseudomonadales; Marinobacteraceae.
UGUCAACUUUNCGGCAAGGGUCCAAUUCGGGCCCCAAAAGNGUANANCCAAUGGAUUGGUGGAUGCGCGCCAAAUGCCGGGUCUUAAGGCUAAUUGCGAACGUGGGAGGCAUAAUGGCGCCACGACCGUGCCUCAUCGGCCAGAAGAAAACUCUCAUUGCAGUUAGGGACUUCCAUAAUUUAAGUCUUCGGAAGGAGGAGCGACUUUCACGAAAUGUUGGGCUUUUCGGAAGAAGUGUGUGCGCCGUACCGACCUAGUCCCAACGGGGGUAACAGGUUAUAAGGGGUGACGACGGAGGGCAUCCUCAAGCCCGGCACAGAGUCAGGGCUACACCGACUAGUAGGAGAGUCUGGUCGAUGCCUAGCAGCGGAACCAUCCGGAAAUGGGGUGGUUGAUCGAUUAGGCUGAAUCCGAGUAGGUCAUCGCGUUCCAGGCUUCUAGGGGACGAAAGAGGGCAUCCUGCAUACGCCAUAAUUAGGCCCAAAGGGGCCCGAUAGGGGGUGAUGACCCGUCUAAGGGAUUCGUAAUGAGUGGGCAGGCGGCCGAGCAGUCGCCCCACGUUCGUGGGGGGACAAUGGCGAAGCUGAACGUACACAAUUCGGACGGCGGUCGCNUAAGUUAGACUUCGGUCCCUA